RNAcentral lists this ribosomal RNA (301 nucleotides) under uncultured bacterium. RNAcentral's name for it is "partial 16S ribosomal RNA". It matches the Rfam family "Bacterial small subunit ribosomal RNA", at positions 509 to 807 of the family's 1533-position model. The record is from RNAcentral.
CAGCAGCCGCGGUAAUACAGAGGAUGCAAGCGUUAUCCGGAAUGAUUGGGCGUAAAGCGUCUGUAGGUGGCUUUUCAAGUCCGCCGUCAUAUCCCAGGGCUCAACCCCGGAACUGCCUUUGAUACUGGAAGUCUUGAGUAUGGUAGAGGUGAGUGGAAUUCCGAGUGUAGAGGUGAAAUUCGUAGAUAUCAAGAAGAAUACCUAUUGCGAAGGCGAUCUGCUGGAACUUAACUGACGCUAAUGCGUGAAAGCGUGGGGAGCAAACAGGAUUAGAUACCCCUGUAGUCCCUGUCUCUUAUAC